GACGAACGCUGGCGGCGUGCUUAACACAUGCAAGUCGAACGGAAAGGCCCUGCUUUUGUGGGGUGCUCGAGUGGCGAACGGGUGAGUAACACGUGAGUAACCUGCCCUUGACUUUGGGAUAACUUCAGGAAACUGGGGCUAAUACCGGAUAUGAGCUCCUGCUGCAUGGUGGGGGUUGGAGAGUUUCGGCGGCUGGGGAUGGACUCGCGGCUUAUCAGUUUGUUGGUGGGGUAGGGGCUUACCAAGGUUUUGACGGGUAGCCGGCCUGAGAGGGUGACCGGCCACAUUGGGACUGAGGUACGGCCCAGACUCCUACGGGAGGCAGCAGUGGGGAAUAUUGCACAAUGGGCGGAAGCCUGAUGCAGCAACGCCGCGUGCGGGAUGACGGCCUUCGGGUUGUAAACCGCUUUGGCAUGUGACGAAGCGUGAGUGACGGUAAUGGGAAAAGAAGCACCGGCUAACUACGUG
This 468-nucleotide ribosomal RNA is filed under the name uncultured bacterium. Its description in RNAcentral is "partial 16S ribosomal RNA". It matches the Rfam family "Bacterial small subunit ribosomal RNA", at positions 28 to 507 of the family's 1533-position model. The record is from RNAcentral.